RNAcentral lists this ribosomal RNA (489 nucleotides) under uncultured bacterium. RNAcentral's name for it is "bacterial SSU rRNA". It matches the Rfam family "Bacterial small subunit ribosomal RNA", at positions 30 to 507 of the family's 1533-position model. The record is from RNAcentral.
UUGAACGCUGGCGGCAAGGCCUAACACAUGCAAGUCGAAUGGUAACAGGAAACAGCUUGCUGUUUCGCUGACGAGUGGCGGACGGGUGAGUAAUGUCUGGGAAACUGCCUGAUGGAGGGGAUAACUACUGGAAACGGUAGCUAAUACCGCAUAACGUCGCAAGACCAAAGAGGGGGACCUUCGGGCCUCUUGCCAUCAGAUGUGCCCAGAUGGGAUUAGCUAGUAGGUGGGGUAACGGCUCACCUAGGCGACGAUCCCUAGCUGGUCUGAGAGGAUGACCAGCCACACUGGAACUGAGACACGGUCCAGACUCCUACGGGAGGCAGCAGUGGGGAAUAUUGCACAAUGGGCGCAAGCCUGAUGCAGCCAUGCCGCGUGUAUGAAGAAGGCCUUCGGGUUGUAAAGUACUUUCAGCGGGGAGGAAGGGAGUAAAGUUAAUACCUUUGCUCAUUGACGUUACCCGCAGAAGAAGCACCGGCUAACUCCGUG